This 24-nucleotide non-coding RNA is filed under the name Arabidopsis thaliana (thale cress). The record is from RNAcentral. Lineage: Eukaryota; Viridiplantae; Streptophyta; Magnoliopsida; Brassicales; Brassicaceae.
AGGGGCAUCAUGAAAAGGGCAUUA